UUUCACCUGCAAUCCAAAAUAGUCAUAAAUUAGGCUUGGGGUUGAAAUGCCUUUGAAACAUCUCCAUUACUCAAUCAGACCUGAGAGUGGCAUUGCAGAACACAAGACAAAUCAACACCAGAAGCUGUGGUGAUAUCACAGCUCUCAGGCCCUGCUGCUAUCUUUUUGCUAUUAUGAGAAAAUAUGCAGAGAUGAAAAUAUUUUGUAAUGGAAAUUGGUCUGCGGUAUGCACUUCAACAAUGUAAUUAUCAUAUGCUUUUAACUGUAUUUAUCCUGUCUGAUAGGAGUGCCUGGCGUGCUAUGGUCCAUGGGGUCACGAAGAGUCAGACACAACUAAACGGCUAAACGACAACAACAAUCCUGUCUGAUGAUUGGAAGCCAUUGUUUGAAGAUCACUGUUGGUCAAAAAAGUAGUCUAGAUAUUUAAAGAUAAAUGCUAUACAGUGGAACCUCGGUUUAUGAACACCUCGGUUUAUGAAUUUUCGGUUUACGAACCCCGCGGACCCAUCUGGAACGGAUUAAUUCACUUUCCAUUACUUUCAAUAGUUCGCUUCAGUUUAUGAACGCUUCAGUUUAUGAACAGACUUCCGGAACCAAUUACACCCAUGCUUCGGGUUAAGUGCGCUUCGGGUUGAGUACUCCGCGGACCCGUCUGGAAGGGAUUAAUCCACUUUCCAUUACUUUCAAUGGGAAAGUUCGCUUCAGUUUAUGAACGCUUCAGUUUAUGAACAGACUUCCGGAACCAAUUGUGUUCAUAAACCGAGGUACCACUGUAUUGAUUAUUCCUAGAUCUAAUGGCAUGACACUGUUGCCUUAAAUGAACUAAGUCGCCAUUUUUUAUCAUUUAAGUAGCAAUUAUUUUUUUAUUCCAGAUUCAUAAUCCCCUACCGCAGAUAUUCAAUAACAACUUUAUGGGCUAUAUCCAGUUCUUUAGACUGGCAUUUGAAAUUAAUUGCAGAAACUGAUACAUGAGAUGGACUCCAGUGUCUGAUCUCAAAAUCUAGAUUUAAAAAUUUGAAUCUUUUUUCUUAAAAAAAGACUAAUAAUAUUUCAUUUCAGGCUUGCAAAUCAUUUUGCUUAUGUAAUCCCUACUAAGGAUGCUGGAGACUUCCAUCAAAAAUGGAAACAUGACUGGAAAUUCCCGUCAUCUGUCUGUUGGUCGGAGGUCAUAAACCGAAAUCAUGCAAUCAAAUAUGAGUGAUAAGUCACUAUUGUUGUUUAUACAACAAUGGGCUACACAUUAUUUAUUUAUUUCUGCAUUUACAUUACAUUGCAUCACUUUCUGCAUUGUUUUUGAUGUUUCCAUUACACUGAAAUUAAUUAUGUCAUUAAUUACAUGUGUUUCAGCCAUAGCAGAUAGUGAGACAAAUAAUGUAAAUUUUAGUGGAAGUUGAACUAUAGCAGAAUAGAAACAGCCCUGAUUGUGAAGGACCCAUGAUGAACCCAGGAAGGGAUGGAAAUUGCUGCCUCUUUACAUUCCUGAUCAGCACAGAAACACAUUUCAAAAGGAUCUUGCUCUGGGAUCGUUAUGAUGUGAUGAAGGGGAGUCUACAAAUUUGGUAAAGAAAUAAAAGUAAAAUAGGGUGGUUUAUCUGGCCACUUCAUUCUCCUCUAUAGGAAGGUUGUUUUUUCCCUUAUGUGAAAAUGCUUGGAGUCGGAAAUCAUGCUCUACAACUCUGAUUUUUGUGUGGUUUUAUGAUCUGUGCUGUGCACCUGGAUUUAUUUUGAAUGCUUCAAUUUGUAUUGAUGGAAUUUUAUGUAUUGUUGUAUUGUGUUUCAUGCUUUGUUAAGUUACUCUGAAUGCACUGAUGGGAAGUGGGAUAUAAACAAUCAUAAUAAUUUUAGUGAAAAACUAGGCAGGAUAAGAUGAUUUAUCCCACUUCUCUUGGGCACCACAUGCAAUAACCCACCUUCUUCAUAGAGGACCUGGCAAUUCUGUUCCCAAUAGAUGUUGUGAAAGUACAGUGGUGCCUCGCUAGACGAAAUUAAUUCGUUCUACGGGUCUUUUCUUAUAGCGAAAAAUUCGUCUAGUGAAUCCCAUAGGAAUGCAUUGAUUUUUUUUGAAUUUUUCUUUGCCCAUAGGAACGCAUUAAUUGAAUUUCAGUGCAUUCCUAUGGGAAACCGUGAUUCGCUAGACGAAUUUUUCGUAAAACGCAUUCGUCUAGCGAGGCAACUCCGCUUGAAAAAUCCUUUCGUUGAGCGGAAAUUUUAUUAAGCAGGGCAUUCGUUAAGCGAGGCACCACUGUAAACAUAAUUGCGUUAGUGAACUUAAUAUGUAUGUCUCUCUCUCUCUCUCUCUCUGUGUGUGUGUGUGUGUGUAUACACAUAAACACAAACACACCAGAGCAUGUGAUAAUGUAGGAGAAGCACUAAGACCAGUAAAAUGCCCUAGAGAAGGAGAAGCAGAAAUGGGGGGAAUCUCUGAUAGGGAAGGGCACGAGGCAGUCUAGUGAAUGAUCUUAGAGCACAUGAUUCUGUAAGGCUGUUGAAACUAAACAGGUGUAGCCCUGAUCACUUCCUGGACAAGAGACCACCGGAAGCCCCAGGUAAGCCACUGGAACCUUUCAAAAGACAAAAAUGGGCUUUUAAAAAAUAAAGAUGUGGUAGGAGGCAUUGUUUCUGUCUUUUCAGAUAUCUAUCUUAUAUGUGCUUUAUCAUGUUGCGACAAACAAAACACUGCAAAUAUUUCCCAGAUUGAAAGCGCUAGUUAAAUGACUGAUCCAAAAUUUUCAGAAAUUACUGACUGGAGUUAGGAGUAGCUUGGAACUGAAUCUCUUAGUUAAUUACUUUGCUCUUCCUGUUGCAAUAAAGAAAAACAAAAUUGAAAAAUCCAACCAUGUAAAGGAGGCAGCAAACAUUUAACUCUUACCAACAAAUUUCUGAGGCAUAGAACUCUUACGUUUGGCGACGUUACUUGCUAGUCUGUCCAACAUAAGGGAUCGCUCUGACCCCAUCUUGCACAGGUCUUCAGCCAUUUCGCUCUGGCUGGUUUCAUCUUUCAUGACUGCAAAAAAUAAAAGAAACAAGAUAUCCUAAACACAUAGCCAUGGAAAGUUCCAACUUUGCUGAGACAUAGUCUACAGGCAGGCACAGGUGGAGAAGGUGCCCAAAAAGAAGCAGUUUGGGAUACCCAGUGCUAGUUUCUCAAAGCAGAAUGAAUUGUUUUAGCACUGCGAAACCAUUUUUAAAUUCUAAAACCAAUUAACAGUUUUUCACCAUAGCUUUGUAUAAUGGCAUGGUGAUAUGGGCAGUUUUAUUUUCAGUCUGUUUCCUAGUGAUUCCUAACACGGAAUUAACCUUUCUAACAAUUGCCACUAACUCUUAAGCCAGAGCUUUCCAAACUGUGUGUUGUGACAUGUUAGAAAAACAGUGUGCAGUGUGUGUCACGGGAACAUUCUUAUAAGGGGUUAGUUUAACCUCUGGUUUGCUAGUAAAAUUGAAUUACUGUGUCAUGAAAUGUCUAAAAAGUGUGUCACUAACAUGAGAACUUUGGAAAGCUCAGUCUAAAGCACACAAUGCAAACUGAAUCAUCUCUAUCUAUAUACUUGUGGACUCUCCCUCCCAAAAACCCCCCAAAGGCAAGAAUUUACCCUAGCAGAAGCCAUCCUGGUUCUGUUUCAGAAAGGUCUGCUCUUCUAUAUGUUUGGCAAUUGUAUCUUUAGCAAUGGUAAAAAAAACAACUAGUCUUCCCAGAACAGAUGCUAAACUAGCUGACCUGUAAUUUUUCUGGAUCCUCUUUUUAAAACUGGUGCUAUGUUGGCUACCAAAUCCAACCCCCUCCUUCUGACACUACCAUCUGAUCCAUGUAUUGAGAUCACAGAGCUGUGUUCUGUGCAUGGAACCAGUUGUAUUUCAGAGAAGGCUACCCUGUGGGUCCUGGGUGCCAAACACUUGCCUAACAAACCACAUUUUGCUUUCAGGACUGGAUGAAUACAUUUCCUUCACAUCACAUUGACGUCAAGAGGCAGCAGAACUACUCCCUAGCACAGUCUUAUCAGGCUCUCCACGUGACACCUGAAACAUUUGCACUAGGCGGGAAAUCUCCACAAACCCCUGAUGAUGGAACUACUAGGUUUGGGUCGGAAAUUCAAUUCAGCUCUCAUGAACGACAAACCUACCUGAUCUGCAUUUUUUCAAAUCAACGCACAUACCAAAACACAGCCAUCCUACAGAAUUUGCACUUCUCAUAAUUUUACAAUGUUGUUCUCCAACCAAGGUGUACAAAAAUGCUAGGGAAGUUUACGCAUAAAAUACAUACAUUGGUGAAAACUUUUUUUCUAAAAAAAUGUAUUAGGGGAAAUACUAGGGAAAACUACAUUUAAAAAAAUUCUGUUGUGAGAAAUUUCAAGAAAUAAGGAUUGCAAACUGAUGUGGAACUAUGGAGAGCUGAACUGAAGAGAGGAAAAAUGAGAAACCAGAAACGGGCAGUUUGCCCAUCCCUAUGAAUGCCCUCCUUCCAGGAGCCCCUCGUUCCCUGGAGCAUCCCCGGUGUGAGAGGAUAACUGCUCUUGGGUGCUUUAUCUGAGAUUAAAGCAACUGCCAUGGAUGUUUUAGCUGAGACUCCUACAUUGCAUGGGGUUGCACUAGAUGUGCCUUGGGGUCCCUUCCAACUCUCACCCUCAGAAUGGGAUCCAGCUGCCUAGUCUGUGAAGGCUUGCUCUGCCUCUCAGCUUUUCCUGGCCAGCUACCAUGGACUAAGGGGAUCGAAAUAUUUCCCUGAGGGCUGGGAGCUCCUUCUACCCAGCAACCCAUGAUUCCAGCAGAGCAGAAGGGGAACAAUGGAGACCCUUUCUCCAUCGAGGAGGACAGAGACCACUGCAAUCCAGCCUCUCCCUCAGAGCUGAGGUUUCAUAAUGCACAAAUGUUCUGCGUUAAUUUGAAUGUUUAGAAUGCGAACCUUUCUCAAACAAUGAUUGCCAAUGUUGCUUAUUUUAUAUUAAUAAAUAAGUCUAAACAGAGUACUUUUUAAAAAAAGAAAAUUAUUUUUACAAGCUUUGCAAGAAGCAUGGGAUUGGAGAGUGAAGGAGAGAAUUGUACUCCUCCCCUCCUUG
Molecule: non-coding RNA, 5051 nt
Organism: Zootoca vivipara (common lizard)
Lineage: Eukaryota; Metazoa; Chordata; Lepidosauria; Squamata; Lacertidae
Source: RefSeq, a predicted model, not a curated record